Molecule: transfer RNA, 74 nt
Filed under: Anguilla anguilla (European eel)
Lineage: Eukaryota; Metazoa; Chordata; Actinopteri; Anguilliformes; Anguillidae
Description: tRNA-OTHER
Source: RNAcentral
GACACGGUGGUGCAGUGGUUAGCACUGUCGCCUCACAGCAAGAAGGUCGUGGGUUUGAAUCUCGGCUUGUGGCC